GUCCCUGUAGCGCAAUGAAUAGCUCGUUGGACUUCUAAUCCAAAUGUCGUGGCUUCGAAUCCAACCUGGGAUG
This 73-nucleotide transfer RNA is filed under the name Trichonephila clavata. It matches the Rfam family "tRNA". Rfam says of the family: Transfer RNA (tRNA) molecules are approximately 80 nucleotides in length. Their secondary structure includes four short double-helical elements and three loops (D, anti-codon, and T loops). Further hydrogen bonds mediate the characteristic L-shaped molecular structure. tRNAs have two regions of fundamental functional importance: the anti-codon, which is responsible for specific mRNA codon recognition, and the 3' end, to which the tRNAs corresponding amino acid is attached (by aminoacyl-tRNA synthetases). tRNAs cope with the degeneracy of the genetic code in two manners: having more than one tRNA (with a specific anti-codon) for a particular amino acid; and 'wobble' base-pairing, i.e. permitting non-standard base-pairing at the 3rd anti-codon position. Lineage: Eukaryota; Metazoa; Arthropoda; Arachnida; Araneae; Nephilidae. The record is from Rfam by way of RNAcentral.